Molecule: ribosomal RNA, 137 nt
Filed under: uncultured eukaryote
Lineage: Eukaryota
Description: partial 18S ribosomal RNA
Rfam family: Eukaryotic small subunit ribosomal RNA
Source: RNAcentral
UGGUGGGGUGACUUGUCUGCUUAAUUGCGAUAACGAACGAGACCUUAACCUGCUAAAUAGCCCGCAUUGCUCCGGCAGUGCGCAGGCUUCUUAGAGGGACUUUCGGCUCAAGCCGAAGGAAGUUUGAGGCAAUAACA